RNAcentral lists this unclassified non-coding RNA (263 nucleotides) under plant metagenome. RNAcentral describes it as "partial contains small subunit ribosomal RNA, internal transcribed spacer 1, and 5.8S ribosomal RNA". The record is from RNAcentral.
UUUCCGUAGGUGAACCUGCGGAAGGAUCAUUAUUGUAUAACCGAGGUGCGAGGGCUGUCGCUGACCCGAAAGGUCGUGCACGCCCGAGUGCCCUCACACACAUCCAUCUCACCCCUAUGUGCACCACCGCGUGGGUCCCCCUUUGGCUUGUUCGGAGGGGGGCUUACGUUUUCACACAAACUUAGUAUGCAGUGUAGAAUGUAUUUUUUGUUUUUGCGAUCACGCAAUCAAUACAACUCUCAACAACGGAUCUCUUGGCUCUC